GCACGCCAUGGCCAAAUGUAUCACCAAAUCAAUCAGGUGCUCCGCGGGCCUGCCAUGAAACCAGAGUUCCCUGAAAUUGGCUCCAGGGUGGAAGCUUAAA
Neomonachus schauinslandi (Hawaiian monk seal) is the source of this 100-nucleotide long non-coding RNA. RefSeq lists it as uncharacterized. Lineage: Eukaryota; Metazoa; Chordata; Mammalia; Carnivora; Phocidae. The transcript has 3 exons. The record is from RefSeq and is a predicted model, not a curated record.